CACAUCAUCACCAGCACCACCAUCCUCCUCCCUCAGGUCUUGAUGCUAACAGUGUGUAGUAGUGUGUUAGUUAAAGGACACAAUGAGGAGUCUGAAAUAACCCAGAGAGCGUACGUGAUUCUACUGAAGCAGGAUUUAGUGACCAUGAGCUGUGUCCUCUCUGUCCUGCUGCUGCUCAUCAUCCUCAUGGCGGUCUGCGUCUACAAGCCGCUGCCUGGACGGUGAAACUGUGCAGAGGAGAGGAAGACACCGGGGACAGAGGAGCUGUUGUCCCGGUACAACCUGCACCGAGCACCGGGGAGCUCAUCGGCUGCAACCGGUACAACAACAACAACAACAACAGACCGGAGCUGCCUGACUGAGGAGGAAACCUGAAGAAUUAUUCACCUGUUUUUUAUGUAAUUUGUUUAUUUAAUUUGAAAUGAGCACUGAAUUAUAUUGUUGGUUUUACAAAUGUUAUUUGACAAUAACAUGAGCUAUUGCCAACAUAACACCUGUCACAUUUUAUUUGUUUGGACUUCACACCUUAAGGUUGUAAUUAGUUUUAUUCAUUUGAUUUUCCGGCUGAGAGUUGGUCUCAUCUGUUUGUUCUGAAGGAAGAAGAAGCCUGGAGGCCAAAAGCCUUUAAAUAAACUAAAGUGGGAUUUUUAAAGUGAGAGUUGUCAUGAAUCAAAUCUUCAUUAGCUUAGCCAGAGUUUAUUUAUGUAUUUUAUUCUGUAAAUGUGGGAAUCUGCUCAUCAAUUUUCUCAAAUUAACUAUUUGCCUAUUGAUUUGCUCAUGAGGGAGAUGAUGCAUUUAUAAUGUAAAGAGAAUUAUGUAAAUUAUUUUACUUUGUUUGCUGUUUUUGCCUUUUUAAAAUGAACAUUUUAAAUAUGACUAAAUAAAUCCUACAAAAAAAUAA
Molecule: long non-coding RNA, 901 nt
Organism: Pleuronectes platessa (European plaice)
Lineage: Eukaryota; Metazoa; Chordata; Actinopteri; Pleuronectiformes; Pleuronectidae
Exons: 2
Source: RefSeq, a predicted model, not a curated record